GUAGGGAAUAUUGCGCAAUGGACGAAAGUCUGACGCAGCGACGCCGCGUGAGUGAUGAAGGCCUUAGGGUCGUAAAGCUCUGUUGAAUGGGAAGAAAAAAAUGACGGUACCAUUCGAGGAAGGACCGGCUAACUUCGUGCCAGCAGCCGCGGUAAUACGAGGGGUCCUAGCGUUGUUCGGAAUCAUUGGGCGUAAAGGGUGUGUAGGUGGCCAUGUAAGUCAGGUGUGAAAGCCCCGGGCUCAACCCGGGAAGUGCACUUGAUACUGCGUGGCUUGAGUACCGAAGAGGGUAGUGGAAUUCCAGGUGUAGUGGUGAAAUACGUAGAUAUCUGGAGGAACACCGGUGGCGAAGGCGGCUACCUGGUCGAGUACUGACACUGAGACACGAAAGCAUGGGGAUCAAACAGGACUAGAAACCCGUGUAGUCC
Molecule: ribosomal RNA, 428 nt
Filed under: uncultured bacterium
Lineage: Bacteria
Description: partial 16S ribosomal RNA
Rfam family: Bacterial small subunit ribosomal RNA
Source: RNAcentral